GUGAGUAACACGUGGGUGAUCUGCCUCGCACUCUGGGAUAAGCCUGGGAAACUGGGUCUAAUACCGGAUACGACCACGGACUGCAUGGUUUGUGGUGGAAAGGUUUACUGGUGCGAGAUGGGCCCGCGGCCUAUCAGCUUGUUGGUGGGGUAACGGCCUACCAAGGCGACGACGGGUAGCCGACCUGAGAGGGUGACCGGCCACACUGGGACUGAGACACGGCCCAGACUCCUACGGGAGGCAGCAGUGGGGAAUAUUGCACAAUGGGCGAAAGCCUGAUGCAGCGACGCCGCGUGAGGGAUGACGGCCUUCGGGUUGUAAACCUCUUUCGACAGGGACGAAGCGCAAGUGACGGUACCUGUAGAAGAAGCACCGGCCAACUACGUGCCAGCAGCCGCGGUAAUACGUAGGGUGCGAGCGUUGUCCGGAAUUACUGGGCGUAAAGAGCUUGUAGGCGGUUCGUCGCGUCGAUCGUGAAAACGUGCAGCUCAACUGCGCGCCUGCGGUCGAUACGGGCGGACUAGAGUACUUCAGGGGAGACUGGAAUUCCUGGUGUAGCGGUGAAAUGCGCAGAUAUCAGGAGGAACACCGGUGGCGAAGGCGGGUCUCUGGGAAGUAACUGACGCUGAGAAGCGAAAGCGUGGGUAGCGAACAGGAUUAGAUAC
This 665-nucleotide ribosomal RNA is filed under the name Nocardia sp. RNAcentral describes it as "bacterial SSU rRNA". It matches the Rfam family "Bacterial small subunit ribosomal RNA", at positions 106 to 785 of the family's 1533-position model. Lineage: Bacteria; Bacillati; Actinomycetota; Actinomycetes; Mycobacteriales; Nocardiaceae. The record is from RNAcentral.